This 495-nucleotide long non-coding RNA is filed under the name Rattus norvegicus (Norway rat). RNAcentral's name for it is "long non-coding RNA NONRATT014205". Lineage: Eukaryota; Metazoa; Chordata; Mammalia; Rodentia; Muridae. The record is from RNAcentral.
UCCCUCCCACCCCAGGCUGGUGUUCCUCUGCACUCCGUGUCCUGGCCCAGAGUCCCUCUCGGCGCUCCCCAACCCGGCCCCCGCCCCUCCCUAGACCGGCCGGGCCCCGAAGUCAUGGAGCGCUGGCCUUGGCCGUCGGGCGGCGCCUGGCUGCUGGUGGCUGCCCGCGCGCUGCUGCAGCUGCUGCGCUCAGACCUGCGUCUGGGCCGCCCGUUGUUGGCGGCGCUGGCCCUGCUGGCCGCUCUCGACUGGCUGUGCCAGCGCCUGCUGCCCCCGCCGGCUGCACUCGUGGUGCUGGCUGGUGCUGGCUGGAUCGCGUUGUCCCGCCUAGCGCGCCCUCCUCGCCUGCCGGUGGCCACUCGCGCGGUGCUCAUCACCGGUGAGUGUGCAGAGCGCAGGGACACCAAGCUGGAGGGUGGGACCGCACACCUAGAGGGUUUCCCUUGGGCACCAUCAAGACGGACUCCGCUGCUCAGAAGUGAGAGUCCUUCUCUA